GGGGCCGUCAUGGUUUUGACGGAGGAGAUUUGCUUAGCGGCAGCAGUGGUCUGGUAAACCUAAAGAUCAAACAAAAAUAACUGACAACACUGUCAAACCCUGGAUGGUGCGUAACAACGCCGUCCGCGCUUGCGCCUAAUUAGAGCACCCGACAUAGGGUUCCCGCCACGCGGGACAAGCACGUCACCCUCGCUUUCUUCUUCUUGGGCGAGGAUUGACGUCUAGACAAGAGGAUGGUCCGCGUACUUGGCUUAACUACGCGGGCGAGAUACCUUAGCCUCGCUGGACGGACUCGACGUCGUCACGCCGUUCCAGCUAAAUCUUGAUGGCGUCUAAACUGUAGACGCUGUUAGGGGAACUCCUUCGGACCCGGGUUCGACUCCCGGCGACUCCACCA
RNAcentral lists this transfer-messenger RNA (397 nucleotides) under bovine gut metagenome. It matches the Rfam family "transfer-messenger RNA". From Rfam's summary of the family: Bacterial tmRNA, also known as 10Sa RNA or SsrA, is named for its dual tRNA and mRNA-like properties. Its role is to liberate the mRNA from a stalled ribosome. The record is from RNAcentral.